GUGGGUGUGGCCUAAUUGGUCAAGGCACCUGGUUGUGGCCCAGGCGAUUGCGGGUUCGAGUCCCGUCACUCACC
This 74-nucleotide transfer RNA is filed under the name Anaerolineae bacterium. RNAcentral describes it as "tRNA-His". It matches the Rfam family "tRNA". From Rfam's summary of the family: Transfer RNA (tRNA) molecules are approximately 80 nucleotides in length. RNAcentral also lists the same sequence under 1 other name. The record is from RNAcentral. Lineage: Bacteria; Bacillati; Chloroflexota; Anaerolineae.